Molecule: ribosomal RNA, 251 nt
Filed under: uncultured bacterium
Lineage: Bacteria
Description: partial 16S ribosomal RNA
Rfam family: Bacterial small subunit ribosomal RNA
Source: RNAcentral
UACGAAGGGGCGUAGCGUUGCUCGGAAGUCACUGGGCGUAAAGGGUGCGUAGGCGGGUUUUAAGUUCAGAGGUGAAAUCCUGGAGCUCAACUCCAGAACUGCCUUUGAUACUGAGAAUCUUGAGUACGGGAGAGGUGAGUGGAACUGCGAGUGUAGAGGUGAAAUUCGUAGAUAUUCGCAAGAACACCAGUGGCGAAGGCGGCUCACUGGCCCGUAACUGACGCUGAGGCACGAAAGCGUGGGGAGCAAAC